AUUGAACGCUGGCGGCAGGCCUAACACAUGCAAGUCGAGCGAGCGGCGGACGGGUGAGUAAUGUCUGGGUAACUGCCUGAUGGAGGGGGAUAACUACUGGAAACGGUAGCUAAUACCGCAUACCAUCAGAUGUGCCUAGAUGGGAUUAGCUAGUAGGUGGGGUAACGGCUCACCUAGGCGACGAUCCCUAGCUGGUCUGAGAGGAUGCCCAGCCAGUCUGGAACGGAAACACGGUCCGGACGCCUACGGGAGGCAGCAGUGGGGAAUAUUGCACAAUGGGCGAGAGCCUGAUGGAGCCAUGCCGCGUGUGUGAAGAAGGCCUUCGGGUUGUAAAGCACUUUCAGCGGGGAGGCGUUACCCGCAGAAGAAGCACCGGCUAACUCCGUGCCAGCAGCCGCGGUAAUUC
RNAcentral lists this ribosomal RNA (406 nucleotides) under uncultured bacterium. RNAcentral's name for it is "partial 16S ribosomal RNA". It matches the Rfam family "Bacterial small subunit ribosomal RNA", at positions 30 to 526 of the family's 1533-position model. The record is from RNAcentral.